RNAcentral lists this ribosomal RNA (529 nucleotides) under Pelophylax bedriagae (Levant water frog). RNAcentral describes it as "partial large subunit ribosomal RNA". It matches the Rfam family "Bacterial large subunit ribosomal RNA", at positions 1910 to 2609 of the family's 2925-position model. Lineage: Eukaryota; Metazoa; Chordata; Amphibia; Anura; Ranidae. The record is from RNAcentral.
UGACAAAGUUUAACGGCCGCGGUACCCUAACCGUGCGAAGGUAGCAUAAUCACUUGUUCUUUAAAUAGGGACUCGUAUCAACGGCAUCACGAGGGCUAUACUGUCUCCUUUCUCCAAUCAGUGAAACUGAUCUUCCCGUGAAGAAGCGGGAAUUAUUAUAUAAGACGAGAAGACCCCAUGGAGCUUUAAACUCAAUAUAUAUUUCUACGCACUUAUAUCACUAUUAGCCUAAGAAAACUAUGUAUUAGUUUUAGGUUGGGGGGACCGCGGAGAAAAAAUUAACCUCCACGACAAAUAGGCCAACGCCUUUAUCUAUGAACCACAAUUCUAAGAAUCAAUAAACUGAUGUUUAAUGAUCCAAUUUUUUGAUCAACGAACCAAGUUACCCUGGGGAUAACAGCGCAAUCUACUUCAAGAGCUCCUAUCGACAAGUGGGUUUACGACCUCGAUGUUGGAUCAGGGUAUCCUAGUGGUGCAGCCGCUACUAAAGGUUCGUUUGUUCAACGAUUAAAACCCUACGUGAUCUGAG